CAGAGGAGGAAAUUCACAAAAGUGACACAAAGCAGAUAAUAACAGAGCCUCAUGAAUUCAUAAUGAUGUUCAAGCAAACAUAUUUACCUCCUCAGUGAGCCCACGAGCCCAUCAAAGAACAUCUCUUAAAUGGCAAACAUGCUGUCCCAGCCCUGCAUGUCUCCUAAGCAACAUCUUUACAGUGUCUGACCCAGCAGUUCUGGAAUAGUGGACUACAACUCGAAACAAGCAGCCUGAUAGGAAAGGACAUGGAGUUGGGGAGAAUCUCCCAGAAAAGUGAAGGGAGAUACUAUUUUUGAUUGAGUACCCACCAGCAAUUCAGACAGCAGCCAACCUGCUUGAAGACAAGUUGAGUGUAAAAUCAAAUUCAUGUCCCUCAGCAGAUGUUGUACUUGUUCACUUGUCAUAUAUGUGGUAUAGAUUAUAUUAAGACAUUAGGAUUGGCAGGUUUGUAGGUUUUAUUCUCAGAAAACAAGAAAACGUGUGUAGAAAGCUCAACAAAAUACAUACUUGAAAAAUCAUAAUAAACCUGAUUUUAAGUCCCUUUUCAAAAGAGAUUGGCCAUAGUGCUUUUUUUCCUGAGAGAAAUAUUGCAAUGAAGCUAUUUAGGGGUAAAACUAAAUUAUCUUGAAGUCAGAGC
Molecule: long non-coding RNA, 640 nt
Filed under: Homo sapiens (human)
Lineage: Eukaryota; Metazoa; Chordata; Mammalia; Primates; Hominidae
Description: HSALNT0310783
Source: RNAcentral